GGCGCGGACUCAGUGUGCUGGUGGUGCACAGACUUAUUCUUCCCCUUCCCCUUCCCCUUGCCCUUCUUCUUCCUGGACUGUCCAGGAGCCUUUGGCGGAAGCGAGGGAGGCGGUGUGACCAUCUCCGGCGUGCGCGGCUCCUCCUCAUACUCCUCCCUGUGGCGGCACAACCGCUUGCGGAGGGGGCGACGAGGGAGGGCGCGGUGGCGAGGCAGGAACGUACUUCUCGUCUUCCGGCUCGGGGAUGAUCUCGUCGUCCUCGGGGGCAAUGGACGCCAUCCCCUCUUCCAUGGAGAAGAAAUAAUCCCACGUGUCAACCCCGGUCUUGGGGUCAAUCGGGGGCGGGGGCGGGGGCGGGGGAGGCGGUGGUGGCUGGGGGGGUGACCGGCGUCUCCGGAGGCGGCGGCGAGACGGGCGGCGCCUGCUGGCGAUGGCGCAGCCUCCGGCGGCGGUCAUCGAGACGGGCAUCGUCCUCCUCGUC
RNAcentral lists this long non-coding RNA (481 nucleotides) under Hordeum vulgare. Its description in RNAcentral is "long non-coding RNA (HVUL_LNC008005)". Lineage: Eukaryota; Viridiplantae; Streptophyta; Magnoliopsida; Poales; Poaceae. The record is from RNAcentral.